ACCGCUGAUAUGUACCUUGGGUAUUUUUUAUAUUAACAUCAACAGUUAGGGGUGAAGAAUGGAACAUUUCAUUUUGCAUGACAACUUGGUAAUUUGAAAUAUACUUUUAUAAUCAUAUUACUGUACAAGGGAUGUUUAUCUUGCACUUGUGAAUAGGGAUUUUCUGGACCAAACAACUGUUUGGCUCAAUUGAUUUGUACAUGAAGUUGACAUCCUCUUACUUUUGUUUCACAUCCAAGUCUUUCCUACAAACCUGUAUUGUCCAACAAGAUGAGGGAUUUUAACUUUGUUAAUUAAAAAUUUCUUUUCUAUGGUAGAAAUGUGAUUCUCGAACAAUUAAGAGCUGCCAAGGUAGUGAAACGGCACAUGAAUAAAUCAUCUUCUCAGAGGGAACAAGGUUUGACGAACCAAGACAUUGAUUAUGGAUGUUCUAAUGAAAUUCAGCUGUGACAUUGAAGUUUAUUUUGUGCCGUUGAUGUUGUCCUGUUUCGUUACAUUCUGAUUUGUUUCUAAAGUGACAAAAGUUGAAGUUUCCCUGAAGUAGUCACUCAAGAAUAAUGUGGAGCACUCCCCAGUUGCACAAGUGACCUCUACAUACUGGAGAGCUGUCCAUAAGCUACUCCAGAUCCAGAACACCAUUUCAGAGUCCCAGAAGCACCAGCAUUCUGUAUUGCUAUUUGAUUCCCUACAACAGCGGUCCUCCAUGCACCAACUGGUCUGUUUAUGCUGUCUCCUUGCUACUCAUUCUCAUAUACACCACACUAAUAAGCGUGAACGAGAACAUCAACAACCCCCCCCUCCCCUCAAAAAAAAAAAAAAAAAACACACACACGCAUUUUAUCCAGCAUCUGUAAGAAUAUGAGCAUGUACAAUCACACUUCAGAGUAUGGAAGGUUUUGUUUGAGCAAUUUGCAGAGAACGAAAAUGCUUUGGUGGGAAGGCUACCCACUUCAGAAAUUGUUGUUGAAAAUCUUCCAUUGGUGUUUGUGGAUUACAACAAUGCACUUUGUGUGGUUUGUAAGGAUGAUACAAAAAUUGGGGAACAAGGAAAGCAGCUACCUAGUUCACUCCUUUACCAAAGAGCAUGUCAUGUGCAGUAAAGUAUUUUAAGCUCAGGUUUAAUCUUGAAGUUUUUUUUCAUGAGCAUCAGAUUGUAUCCAUUGUAGAUGAUGAUUUCAUUAUGCAAAUCACUUAUAUUUUCAUCAUUGUAGAUAAUUAUGUUUUGCCCCAUGUGUAAUUUACCUCUUGACAAAUGAGCAUGUAAUUUUCUUA
Non-coding RNA from Camellia sinensis, 1272 nucleotides. The record is from RefSeq and is a predicted model, not a curated record. Lineage: Eukaryota; Viridiplantae; Streptophyta; Magnoliopsida; Ericales; Theaceae.